AGUCGUACGCAUGCUAUUUGCCAACGGAGCUUGCUCCACCGGGAAAAGAGGAGUGGCGAACGGGUGAGUAACACGUGGGUAACCUGCCCAUCAGAAGGGGAUAACACUUGGAAACAGGUGCUAAUACCGUAUAACAAUCGAAACCGCAUGGUUUCGUUUUGAAAGGCGCUUUACGGUGCCGCUGAUGGAUGGACCCGCGGUGCAUUAUCUAUUUGGUGAGGUAACGGCUCACCAGGGCCACGAUGCAUACCCGACCUGAGAGGGUGAUCGGCCACAUUGGGACUGAGACACGGCCCAAACUCCUACGGGAGGCAGCAGUAGGGAAUCUUCGGCAAUGGACGAAAGUCUGACCGAGCAACGCCGCGUGAGUGAAGAAGGUUUUCGGAUCGUAAAACUCUGUUGUUAGAGAAGAACAAGGGUGAGAGUAACUGUUCACCCCUUGACGGUAUCUAACCAAAAAGCCACGGCUAACUACGUGCCAGCAGCCGCGGUAAUACGUAGGUGGCAAGCGUUGUCCGGAUUUAUUGGGCGUAAAGCGAGCGCAGGCGGUUUCUUAAGUCUGAUGUGAAAGCCCCCGGCUC
This 581-nucleotide ribosomal RNA is filed under the name Enterococcus mundtii. RNAcentral describes it as "bacterial SSU rRNA". It matches the Rfam family "Bacterial small subunit ribosomal RNA", at positions 45 to 610 of the family's 1533-position model. The record is from RNAcentral. Lineage: Bacteria; Bacillati; Bacillota; Bacilli; Lactobacillales; Enterococcaceae.